Long non-coding RNA from Apis cerana (Asiatic honeybee), 950 nucleotides. RefSeq lists it as uncharacterized. Lineage: Eukaryota; Metazoa; Arthropoda; Insecta; Hymenoptera; Apidae. The record is from RefSeq and is a predicted model, not a curated record.
AGUCCGCCUUCUCAGCCCAAGAAGCGUAAUGGAAUUUUCGUUAUCAUUUGUUCGAGACCAGUUAGAACUUAGCAUCCAGGUAUUUACAGCCUGGCCGGCCAAUUGCCUUUGAAUUUGUAAUGGCCGCUCUCGAACCACCACUCUGCACCCGAUAAUAGUUCCGGGAAACGGUUCCGCGUAUGCAUAUCGAAUUGUUUCCUCUCCUUGAGGACGGAAGGCAGAAUUUUGCCACAAGUUUCCAAUUAUCCCGGAUAAUAUUUGAAAUUAUUCCAUGAUGAAAUUAGUCGUUUGAGAAAAUGAUUUUAUGAAUUUUCCUAAAAAAUUUGUGACAAUUUUUUUGGAUUGUUAGAAAUGACAGAUUGGAGAGAGAGAUCGAAGAGAGUAAUAAUCGCUCGAAACAAAUAGUUUUGGAUAGUGCGUUAAUUAAUAAGUAAAAGAAGACGAAUAAAAGAAAAAAGGAAAAGAGGACAAAUAUCAAUAAUGGUCCCUGCUAAUAACACCGUCGUGUAACCACAAUUCACGAUCGAAGGAGAUGGGAGCAUGGGUAAAAGGGAACGUCGAUGAAACGAUAAUUUCUAACGGAGUUUGGAGAAACAAAGGGAAAUUGGGUCAACACGUUGACGAAAGGAAAAUAUUAAAAUAUUAAUCGAGAAUACGCGCGGAAGGAUAAUUUCCAAUUUGCUGCGGUCCCGAAACCACGAGCAAGGAUGUUAGAACGAAGUAGGGGGGAGCCUCCAGUGAUCCUGGACCGGAGAAGGUAUAUUUUCUUCCGGAUAAAGGCAUCGUGCACUGUCGCCGUCGGUGACGAACCAUCAACGAUCUGAGUUAAGCGUCCUUCGAAGAAUUAAGAAGGGAGAAGAAUUUGGAAUAAGUUUUUUCGAAGAUUUUUGACUUUUUUUUGUAAUAUUCAUGUAAUUUGUGAUAUACAAUAAAGAAAAUUAAAAAAGGAA